RNAcentral lists this ribosomal RNA (468 nucleotides) under uncultured bacterium. RNAcentral describes it as "partial 16S ribosomal RNA". It matches the Rfam family "Bacterial small subunit ribosomal RNA", at positions 28 to 507 of the family's 1533-position model. The record is from RNAcentral.
GACGAACGCUGGCGGCGUGCUUAACACAUGCAAGUCGAACGGAAAGGCCCUGCUUUUGUGGGGUGCUCGAGUGGCGAACGGGUGAGUAACACGUGAGUAACCUGCCCUUGACUUUGGGAUAACUUCAGGAAACUGGGGCUAAUACCGGAUAGGAGCUCCUGCUGCAUGGUGGGGGUUGGAAAGUUUCGGCGGUUGGGGAUGGACUCGCGGCUUAUCAGCUUGUUGGUGGGGUAGUGGCUGACCAAGGCUUUGACGGGUAGCCGGCCUGGGAGGGUGACCGGCCACAAGGGGACUAAGGGAGGGCCCAGUGUCGUAUAGGGGGCAGCGGGGGGGAGUAUUACACAAUGAGCGGAAGCCUGAUGCGACGGCGCUGCGUGCGGGAUGACGGCCUUCGGGUUGUAAACCGCUUUCGCCUGUGACGAAGCGUGAGUGACGGUACUGGGUAAAUAAGCACCGGCUAACUACGUG